AGUGAACGCUGGCGGCAGGCCUAAUACAUGCAAGUCGAACGGCAGCACAGCAGAGCUUGCUCUGUGGGUGGCGAGUGGCGGACGGGUGAGGAAUACAUGGGAAUCUGCCCAGUCGUGGGGGAUAACGUAUGGAAACGUACGCUAAUACCGCAUGCGCCCUAAGGGGGAAAGCCGGGGACCGCAAGGCCUGGCGCGAUUGGAUGAGCCCAUGUUCGAUUAGCUAGUUGGCGGGGUAAAGGCCCACCAAGGCGACGAUCGAUAGCUGGUCUGAGAGGAUGAUCAGCCACACUGGAACUGAGACACGGUCCAGACUCCUACGGGAGGCAGCAGUAGGGAAUAUUGGACAAUGGGGGCAACCCUGAUCCAGCCAUGCCGCGUGAGUGAAGAAGGCCCUCGGGUUGUAAAGCUCUUUUGUCCGGAAGAAAAGCAAUCGGUUAAUACCCGGUUGUUCUGACGGUACCGGAAGAAUAAGCACCGGCUAACUUCGUGCCAGCA
RNAcentral lists this ribosomal RNA (495 nucleotides) under uncultured bacterium. RNAcentral's name for it is "bacterial SSU rRNA". It matches the Rfam family "Bacterial small subunit ribosomal RNA", at positions 29 to 513 of the family's 1533-position model. The record is from RNAcentral.